CAUUGAUUGUGAUCCUUCACCAUUUUGCAAAGUGACACCAUGCAACCCUCUCACAGACAGAGCUGGAUUUGAACUCACAACAGAACCCCCAGCCCAGGAUCUGAGGUGUCCCAUGUUGAGUUCAGAAAGAAUCGUCCAGAUUGUCAACUACACAUUUCAGCAAAUUUAUUAUGCUCAUUAAAAUGAAUCAAUAGGCC
Molecule: long non-coding RNA, 197 nt
Filed under: Scleropages formosus (Asian bonytongue)
Lineage: Eukaryota; Metazoa; Chordata; Actinopteri; Osteoglossiformes; Osteoglossidae
Description: lncRNA (ENSSFOG00015025534.1)
Source: RNAcentral